CGGACGGGUGAGUAACGCGUGGAUAACCUGCCUCACACAGGGGGAUAACAGUUAGAAAUGACUGCUAAUACCGCAUAAGCGCACAGUCUCGCAUGGGACAGUGUGAAAAACUGAGGUGGUGUGAGAUGGAUCCGCGUCUGAUUAGGCAGUUGGCGGGGUAACGGCCCACCAAACCGACGAUCAGUAGCCGGCCUGAGAGGGUGAACGGCCACAUUGGGACUGAGACACGGCCCAAACUCCUACGGAAGGCAGCAG
This 255-nucleotide ribosomal RNA is filed under the name uncultured bacterium. RNAcentral's name for it is "partial 16S ribosomal RNA". It matches the Rfam family "Bacterial small subunit ribosomal RNA", at positions 99 to 354 of the family's 1533-position model. The record is from RNAcentral.